UGAGCUCGAUGAGUAGGGCGGGACACGUGGUAUCCUGUCUGAAUAUGGGGGGACCAUCCUCCAAGGCUAAAUACUCCUGACUGACCGAUAGUGAACCAGUACCGUGAGGGAAAGGCGAAAAGAACCCCGGCGAGGGGAGUGAAAAAGAACCUGAAACCGUGUACGUACAAGCAGUGGGAGCACGCUUAGGCGUGUGACUGCGUACCUUUUGUAUAAUGGGUCAGCGACUUAUAUUCUGUAGCAAGGUUAACCGAAUAGGGGAGCCGAAGGGAAACCGAGUCUUAACUGGGCGUUAAGUUGCAGGGUAUAGACCCGAAACCCGGUGAUCUAGCCAUGGGCAGGUUGAAGGUUGGGUAACACUAACUGGAGGACCGAACCGACUAAUGUUGAAAAAUUAGCGGAUGACUUGUGGCUGGGGGUGAAAGGCCAAUCAAACCGGGAGAUAGCUGGUUCUCCCCGAAAGCUAUUUAGGUAGCGCCUCGUGAAUUCAUCUCCGGGGGUAGAGCACUGUUUCGGCAAGGGGGUCAUCCCGACUUACCAACCCGAUGCAAACUGCGAAUACCGGAGAAUGUUAUCACGGGAGACACACGGCGGGUGCUAACGUCCGUCGUGAAGAGGGAAACAACCCAGACCGCCAGCUAAGGUCCCAAAGUCAUGGUUAAGUGGGAAACGAUGUGGGAAGGCCCAGACAGCCAGGAUGUUGGCUUAGAAGCAGCCAUCAUUUAAAGAAAGCGUAAUAGCUCACUGGUCGAGUCGGCCUGCGCGGAAGAUGUAACGGGGCUAAACCAUGCACCGAAGCUGCGGCAGCGACGCUUAUGCGUUGUUGGGUAGGGGAGCGUUCUGUAAGCCUGCGAAGGUGUGCUGUGAGGCAUGCUGGAGGUAUCAGAAGUGCGAAUGCUGACAUAAGUAACGAUAAAGCGGGUGAAAAGCCCGCUCGCCGGAAGACCAAGGGUUCCUGUCCAACGUUAAUCGGGGCAGGGUGAGUCGACCCCUAAGGCGAGGCCGAAAGGCGUAGUCGAUGGGAAACAGGUUAAUAUUCCUGUACUUGGUGUUACUGCGAAGGGGGGACGGAGAAGGCUAUGUUGGCCGGGCGACGGUUGUCCCGGUUUAAGCGUGUAGGCUGGUUUUCCAGGCAAAUCCGGAAAAUCAAGGCUGAGGCGUGAUGACGAGGCACUACGGUGCUGAAGCAACAAAUGCCCUGCUUCCAGGAAAAGCCUCUAAGCAUCAGGUAACAUCAAAUCGUACCCCAAACCGACACAGGUGGUCAGGUAGAGAAUACCAAGGCGCUUGAGAGAACUCGGGUGAAGGAACUAGGCAAAAUGGUGCCGUAACUUCGGGAGAAGGCACGCUGAUAUGUAGGUGAAGUGAUUUACU
Molecule: ribosomal RNA, 1374 nt
Filed under: Escherichia coli
Lineage: Bacteria; Pseudomonadati; Pseudomonadota; Gammaproteobacteria; Enterobacterales; Enterobacteriaceae
Description: partial 23S ribosomal RNA
Rfam family: Bacterial large subunit ribosomal RNA
Source: RNAcentral